This 147-nucleotide non-coding RNA is filed under the name Gorilla gorilla gorilla (western lowland gorilla). The record is from Rfam by way of RNAcentral. Lineage: Eukaryota; Metazoa; Chordata; Mammalia; Primates; Hominidae.
GCUGGGUAUGGUGGCGCAUGCCUGUAGUCCCAGCUACUCAGGAAGCUGAGGCAGGAGAAUCGCUUGAAUCCAGGAGGUGGAGGUGCAGUGAGCCGAGAUUGUGUCACUGCACUCCAGCCUGGGUGACAGAGUGAGACUCCGUCUCAA